RNAcentral lists this ribosomal RNA (148 nucleotides) under uncultured bacterium. RNAcentral's name for it is "partial 16S ribosomal RNA". It matches the Rfam family "Bacterial small subunit ribosomal RNA", at positions 383 to 523 of the family's 1533-position model. The record is from RNAcentral.
CUGAUCAGCCAUGCCGCGUGUGUGAAGAAGGCCUUAUGGUUGUAAAGCUCUUUAAGCGAGGAGGAGGCUCCCGUAGCUAAUAUCUACGGAGAGUGGACGUUACUCGCAGAAUAACCCCCGGCUAACUCUGUGCCAGCAGCCGCGGUAA